This 681-nucleotide long non-coding RNA is filed under the name Bos taurus (domestic cattle). RNAcentral's name for it is "long non-coding RNA NONBTAT010991". Lineage: Eukaryota; Metazoa; Chordata; Mammalia; Artiodactyla; Bovidae. The record is from RNAcentral.
GGGAUGGUAUCACAGCAUAAUCCUCUUGAUGAGUAUUAUUUUGGAAAUCAUUAGAGGUGUUUUUAUAUGACUAUGUAAUACUGUCUUCCUUGUCAAUCAAUCUUAAGAAUCCAGUGGAGACAAAAUUGUCAAAUGUUUAUAUCAUACUCAUUCAUCUUGAUGGCAGUCACAUGUGGGAGUUCGACUUAUAUUCUUUGGAAUUAGUGUAAUAUUAAUAAUUUUACAACAAAGCGUACAUAUAUUUUGCUUGUAAAUGUUCACAAGUAUUAGGUAACCUGAAUAGAUUCCAUGCUUUACAGCUUCCUGAGAGUCUGCUGUGGAGGCUUUAACUAUGUUCUACUUGUGAGAAGGGUGGGCAAAUAAUGGGUGAAAUGGGUUUGAUAAAAGUAGCCAGUGAUGUUCAAUAUUAUAGACUCUGCAGCUAGGAGGGAUACAAUGUGGACUUUACUCAGUCCAAAUGAGUGUUAAAGGAAUUGCCCAACUUCUAAAAAAAAUCAGCUGCAUCAUGGGUACUGAGGCUCUUCUCAUAACUUGACAACUAUAAAUGAUUUCUAGAGGUCUUAUCUUGGUUUCAGCAUCCUGGUCACAGUCUGGCACCUUCUCGGCAGAGCUGAAGUUGCCUGUAUCUGCUUCAGAGGGAAGGAAUUAUGGGACAUUAAGUUCCAUUGUCUGCCUUCAAGC